AAGAAAAACAGAAAAUAAAAGAAACAUGGCCGGAAGAAAGACAUGGAUGGGCAUCCAUGCAGCUCUGAUGACGAUUCUCCUUACAGCUCCGGCUGCCAUGGCGGGUGGUAACACCGUCAUACCAGCCGACAAAUCCGGAGUCAACAAGUGGUUCAAUGACAUUGUGAAUCAAAAGUCCGGACUUGACUCUCAGCUUACCAAGGCGGAGCAGGGUACCAAAGUUGUCAAGGUCAUGCAAAAUGGAGGAGGAAACUUCAAGACAAUCACGGAUGCCGUUAAAAGCGUUCCGAACGGGAACACUAACCGUGUGAUUAUAUACAUUGGAGGGGGUACUUACAACGAGAAGAUAACAAUUCCAAGAGAGAAACCAUUUAUCACAUUUUUUGGGGAUCCCAAAAACAUGCCGAAAUUGACAUUUAAUGGUGAUAACAAAAAAUAUGGGACGGUUUACAGUGCUACAUUGGCGGUGGAAUCCGAUUACUUCAUAGGAGUUAACUUGAAUAUCAUUAAUUCAUCACCGAGGCCGGAUGCGUCAAGAACGGGCGCACAAGCAGUUGCCUUGAGGGUGUCCGGUACCAAAGCCGCAUUGUACAAUUGCAAAAUGUACGGGUUCCAGGACACCGUUUGUGAUGAUAAAGGCUACCAUCUCUUCAAGGACUGCUAUAUUGAAGGAACUGUAGAUUUCAUCUUCGGAAGCGGAAAGUCCAUCUAUUUGAACACAGAUCUACGUGUGUUGGGCGACAACGGAAUGACGGUGAUAACGGCACAGGCAAGAGAUGGUAAAACAGAGGACACCGGAUACUCAUUUGUACACUGCAACAUUACCGGAACCGGCAAGGGCACGUUUUUGGGCAGGGCAUGGAGGGCUAGCCCCCAGGUGGUGUAUGCCUACACCGCCAUAGGAGAUGUUAUUGCUCCAGAAGGAUGGACCGACAAUAGGCACCCCGAAUACGAUAGGUCUGUAAAUUUUGGAGAGUACAAGAAUAUGGGACCAGGAUCAAGCAUGAGUAAGAGAGUGAAGUUCACAAAGCAGCUGAGCGAUGCAGAUGCAAACCUUUCAUCAGCCUCGACUUCAUUCAGGGUACCAAAUGGUUGCUUCCUAUUCCAAAUCCAAAGGUGUAA
Fragaria vesca subsp. vesca is the source of this 1122-nucleotide RNA transcript. It is a transcript of the gene named pectinesterase 2-like, with no coding region annotated. The transcript has 4 exons. The record is from RefSeq and is a predicted model, not a curated record. NCBI's taxonomy places the organism in Eukaryota, Viridiplantae, Streptophyta, Magnoliopsida, Rosales, Rosaceae.